GGUGGCUCAGUGGUAGAGCUCUUGCCUUGCAUGCAUAAGGCCCUGGGUUCAAUUCCUCAGUACCA
RNAcentral lists this transfer RNA (65 nucleotides) under Dipodomys ordii (Ord's kangaroo rat). It matches the Rfam family "tRNA". Rfam says of the family: Transfer RNA (tRNA) molecules are approximately 80 nucleotides in length. Lineage: Eukaryota; Metazoa; Chordata; Mammalia; Rodentia; Heteromyidae. The record is from Rfam by way of RNAcentral.